AUUGAACGCUGGCGGCAUGCCUUACACAUGCAAGUCGAACGGCAGCACGGGAGCAAUCCUGGUGGCGAGUGGCGAACGGGUGAGUAAUAUAUCGGAACGUGCCCAGUCGUGGGGGAUAACGUAGCGAAAGCUACGCUAAUACCGCAUACGAUCUAUGGAUGAAAGCGGGGGAUCGCAAGACCUCGCGCGAUUGGAGCGGCCGAUAUCAGAUUAGGUAGUUGGUGAGGUAAAGGCUCACCAAGCCGACGAUCUGUAGCUGGUCUGAGAGGACGACCAGCCACACUGGGACUGAGACACGGCCCAGACUCCUACGGGAGGCAGCAGUGGGGGAAUUUUUGGACAAUGGGCGCAAGCCUGAUCCAGCAAUGCCGCGUGCAGGAUGAAGGCCUCGGUUGUAACUAGCUUUGUACGGUAACGAAACGGUAGAGCUCUAAUACAGUUGCUAAUGACGUACCGUAAGAAUAAG
Molecule: ribosomal RNA, 466 nt
Filed under: uncultured bacterium
Lineage: Bacteria
Description: bacterial SSU rRNA
Rfam family: Bacterial small subunit ribosomal RNA
Source: RNAcentral